UUUUACAAUGGAGAGUUUGAUCCUGGCUCAGGAUGAACGCUAGCUACAGGCUUAACACAUGCAAGUCGCGGGGCAGCAUUCACUUAGCUUGCUAGGUGAGAUGGC
This 105-nucleotide ribosomal RNA is filed under the name Prevotella sp. P3-122. RNAcentral describes it as "partial 16S ribosomal RNA". The record is from RNAcentral. Lineage: Bacteria; Pseudomonadati; Bacteroidota; Bacteroidia; Bacteroidales; Prevotellaceae.